CCUGAGCUCCGCAAGGCUGCUGCUGAUCUAAGUGCAAUCUCUGCUAAUCACUGCAGCCUGCGGGUGAUUGACUUCAGGCACUUCCAGAGGCCGUGGUCAAAGCUGACCGCAGGGCAUGUGGAGAUGAGCUCCAGCUGGGUUUGGCCCUACAGCUCAGAAAGAUCAGCUGGAAAAUACAAGCUGUAGCCAACAGACUGAAGGAAGAGCUGGAAGGACCCAAUAAAAGUGAGCGUGAAGCAUAGAGAGAAAGGAUGCUUGAUGCUGGUGGGCAGGAGCUGAGGCAAGUAGGAGGGAACUGGGGGAUAUAAAGGAUUUUCCUGGAAAGAAGAUUCCCAGCACAUAAGAGGGUUUACAGAGCACGCUCUGAUGCUUCUUCCAAAAAAUUCCAUGCAGGCUGGGUGAGAUAUUUUGGACAGAGAAUGAUGCUGAGAAGACGCACCAUUGGCACCUUGGACCUGGGCAUCCCGGAGGCUCCAGAGCAGAGAGAUCUGUGCCAGCUCUGCAGGAACCUGGCUCAUACUUAAAAGUAGGAGCAGCCAUUCCCAUUGCUCUGGGUAACACGUGGUUUCCUCUCACGCUGCUGGUGGCACUCAGGUUGCCUGGAACUGGGGAAGAAUUAACAAAACACAGAAAUUGGAUGUUUAGCUUACUGACAAGGGCAAGUUGUGAUAUACUGCACUUUUCAAGUGUUUAUUCCCCUGGUCUCGUCUGCAAGCCAUGAAGGCAGGAAUCAUGCCAGUGCUCACCAAACAACAUCUGAAUUCUCCAUACAACUCUGCUUUGCUGUGGUGUUUAAUUACCCUCAGAAGUUGUUCCUGGGCGUGCAUGUGUGACUAAAACAGCUACCAUUAAAGACAAGUUCUGCAUUGCAUUACUGGACUAAUAUUGCUGAGAAUAAUGUGACCAGAAUAGCUACUCGUGCCUCAAGGCCAGAAAUGAUCCAUGCCAAGCCCACCUCCAUCCCUCCCCCUGUAUUGCCUCAUCUGUGCUGACAUUUCCUUGUGAAUAUUUAAGGUAUGUCUGUUCUCAUCUCUUGUUGAAAGUCAAAUGCAUGCACGCUACAGAGAACAACAGGCAGUUGCUAUUCAACCCAUACAAAGCUGACAUGCAGUGCACCAAUACAGCAAUUAUAUUUGCAAAAAUUUACUUCCUGGGGGCUGCUUUGGGGUGUGGAUGGUAUGACUCUCACUGAUAAUCCUUUAAAACUUUGCCAGGAAAGUGAACUCGAACACUGGAACCUGAUUACAGCUUUUCCUUAUUUAAGUAAUGUUUGAUGCCUGGAGGUGCCCAAGGCCACGGAUGGGGCUCUGGGCAGCCUGACCUGGUGGGGAGCACUCAGCCCAUGGCAGGGGUUGGAGUCAAUGAUCCCUAAGGUCUCUUCCAAUCUCAGCCACUCUGUGAUUCUUUAAGUACACUCACUCAGAAUACUCCUGGUUUAUCCACCUGAAUGUCAGCAAUAGAGCAGAAAACUGAGGGGAGCGUCACAUGGAGCAUCACCUUCAGCACUUCAAUCCACAGCACGUGACAUUCUUCACAUUUUCUGACAGCUCAAAAAGUUUGUGACCAAGAGGGAAAAACAGCAAAAAACGUAAUUUAAGACACAUUUAGUCAUCCUCAGCCCGUAUUUAGGCACCUACAUACAUUGCCCACUUUCCAGCUGGGACAGACAGGAUUACAGUGGCAGGGAGCUGAGCUCAGGCUUAGCAGGAUGCCCACACACUUCAGCAUCCCACACACUUAAUAUCCACGAUUGUAACAACAUAGCAACUAGUCUGUAAUUAGUACAGACAUUGCCAGAGAUGUCUUUGUAUUACUUAUGAGUCAUGCUACAAAAAUAUUCUUUAUUCAUUAUCCAAGCUCUUUUCAUUUCAGUGCCAGCCAUUACCGUGUUGCAGAGUACGUAGGUCUCUGUCAGGCUUGUCAAAGCCAAGUGCCUUCUGAUAGGGAUCUUUGCAUUUAACCUGACAAAGAUUUACUUUACAAAAGGGUGAGAUCAAAAGGGUUUCUUUCUGCACAGAAGAAGAAAGAAACACUUAAACAUGGCUCAAAGUGAGGGGUUUGCACUCCUUGUUGCUUCUCCAGCAGCCCAUCUAUGGCUGGAAGAACCUCUUUCAGACUUGGCUUAAAUUGUUCCGUCAGUUAAUUAAAUAUUUGUAUCUUAAUGUCUUUCUGGUUAACUAGUGAGGAGAAAAGGCUCGUGAAAAACUCAGACCGAAUAGGAAACUUUCCUUCAUCCUUUAUAUAAUAUACGGAACAGAAGAAGGAAAACGCAGCUGAAAUGUAUUAUGACAAGCAAAUAAAAGUAAUAUUGGAAAAUUCCUUCAGGCAGAUUCUGUUCUAGACCACUACUGUUUACUAAGAUUUUUUUAUUCACUGCAAUAUUAAAUCACUGGGCUGGAAAGUCCUUGGGUCAUUUCAAACCACUGUCUCAUUGAUUUCGUAUUCCUUAAGCAUCCUUAAUAUAGCACUGUCAUCGGAGCUGACGACAGCGAUCCCUAGAUCUCCCUUGGCAGUGGACUAAUUGUCUAAGUGCUCUUGCUGUUGGAGAGGAGCACUGACAGAUUAACUCAGACCCUGUAAGCAAAAAGGUAGGUUAAAAAAAGUCUGACAUAAUCAGAAAAGUUCCCAUAAAACACAGUAGGAAGCUGUUUCACAGUACAAUACAUCGUGAAAUUUCUUUUUCUUUCUUUCUUUUUUUCUUGAAUGUUACUAUUCUUUCCAGACAUAGCUGUAUUCUUCAAAGACUUUGUUUUACCACCAAGAGAGCAGACACUCUCUCUCCCUCAUCUGCACCAGAAUUGAAGCAUUUUUUCUGAGCCUUACGAGCCCAAGAAAAGGGAAUGAGCCAUUCCUGGCAUACAUUGGUGCACUGCUGGGUCACCAUAACAAGGUUUAUGAUGAUUUUGGGUCUUGAGAAAGGCCUGAAUUAUAGAGAGGAAAUCAAACUGUGGUUGUGGUCAAGAAAAAUCUUAGAAGUGUUCUAUUUAGCAAUCUAAUUGUUUCCCAGCUAGAAAGGAUAUAGCAGAAAUGGAGUACAGAAUGCUCUCCUGAAAAGAAAACUUCCAAGGCACAACUCUAGAAAUAAAAUUAAAUUUCUAUUUUUAAGAUGAAUCUAAAUCUACAUUUUCUCAUGACAGCUCUCUUCUUCCUUUCAAUAAAAUCCCUGUCUGCAUCUGUGGCUGAAAGCACAAAAGCUCAGCACUGAGAUGUACCUACUGCCUUUAAGGAUAAAUCAAACCAACUCUGCGCCGUCGCUUCCUGUAAGCAUUACAGCCCCAGAGAAAUGCACCCUCACCGUUACGAGGGAAGACACCCUCUGCCUCUCCCACACCAAAUCCCAGCAGCAGUGCUUUGCCAAAGAGCCAAAAAGACCAAGUGCUGAGCUGCACAGAAAGGGAUGGAUGUGGAUGACUCGCCCUGAAAUGGAAGACUCCAUCAAGUCAUGACACAAUGCAGGAUGGACUGAGCAAAUCAUAGGCUGUGUUUGUCAUAGAAUCAUUAAGGCUGGAAAAGACCUUCAAGAUCACCAAGUCCAACCUCAGCCCACCCCACCAUGCCCAUCACCACGUCCCUCAGUGCCACAUCUCCAUGGUUCUGGAGCACCUCCAGGGAUGGUGAUCCCACCACCACUCCCUGGGCAGCCCCGUGCCAGUACACCAUCACUCUUCCUGAGAAGUUUUCCCCAGUAUCCAACCUGAACCUAUGCUGGCACUUGAGGCCAUUCCUCUCAUCCUGUUGCUUCUUGCCUCCAACCUGGAUAAAGAACCAAUGGUCCCAUUACCCACUGCCAUUUUGGAUGGUCCUGUGUGGGGCCAGGAGCUGGACUCAAUGAUCCUCAUGGGUCCCUUCCAGCUCGGGAUAUUCUAUGGUUCUAUGAUUCUACCCUGUAGAGAUUAAGGUGCUUCCUGAAUAACAGGCAUCGCUCUGCCUGAGCAAAGAGGACGACAACAGAAAGUUUCAGCUACAGAAAUGAUCACAGCCACUGUUUCCAAAUCAUGGCUGAAGGAGUUUAAAAUAACAACAAAGAAUAGAAAACUGCUUUUGAGAGACAAAGUAAGUUUCUCUACAGAACUAACAGACAUGAAAUCGUAAUUUUCUUCAUUAACUCAUCUUGCUGUAGAUGAAAUGGGGUUUCAGAGGGAAUUCAGAAAUCAUUUCUUCCACAUGAAGAGUUUGUACACUUAAUUUGUUGCAGUAAACCACCAUUCUGCAUGCUGAGGACCUCUGUGUUAGCAGAUGAUGAAACAGCAUCUGCCUUAACUGUUCUUUUCUCCAUUUAACUGGUAAAGUAUUUCCAUCUCAGUGAUGAGAUGAAAAACACAGAGGAGAAAAUCACAGAAGAAAAGAAAUUCACAGUUUUCUAGCCAGAGCAUUCAAGUGGAAUAGCUAAUAUUGCCAGCUUCAGCACAAAGCAAAAUAAUGGGGAAUAUUUUUACACAACUUAUUACAAUGAACAGAUGCAGCACGAGCAUUUCGAAGGCACGCGUUGCAUGCAAGCAGGAUUUCAAAGCAACGUAAGGGACUUACAGAUUCAGAGAUAUAUCUUUUUCAUUACCCCAAACACUACACUUGUCUUCAAUCUAAAAACAAACAUUGACAAUGGAAGAAUUUAUAGGCUCAGGAGUCUGAGAUGUGGCUCUGGUUUCAUAGAUGGGUGCUUGGAAGAAGGUAAUUUGAAACGAUAGACUCAUAAUUGUGCCCAGCGUUGGAGCUGCACACUGAUAGCGGAGGCUGCAGAAACUCCCUCCAACAACACAUCCGUGAGCCACAACCUGCCGAGAACAGGAAUGUGAGGUUGGUUUGAACUCACUCUUCAGGCUUCUGGGGCAGCACAAGGGGUGUUUACCACCUUGGUCUUUCUUUUCAAACAGUGCCCCAGGUACUGGGCUUUGACACCUCUCAAUCCAUGCAGAAUAUGGCUCUUUUCACUCAACUCUCACUAAAACAUUAAUAAAGAAUUUUUCCAACAGCUCCUUUCUUUUCACCUCCCUCCAACAUUUCUCAUCUAUUAUGCCCAGCAUCUUACAGCAUAUAAAAAUACAUCACUGAAUCUGAAGUGAAAUCUGAAGAGUUUUAAUUGCUCUGAGUCUUGGGAGGCCCCAGCCCCAUCCUCAACAGUGACGCAUUCAAGGAUUCAGCUCUUGGAUUAAUCCCAGGGCUCAGUGGAUGGAUCCAAGGAUGAAAUUUAAAGAAGAGGUUGGGAAUGAUGAUGUCACUGAUCCCAGAAACCCUUCUGGUGAGGAGGAUCUGGCAGUGGGCUCUCCCUACAAAUACACAGGGGUUUUAUGGCAUUCAGUCCCAUGUUUGAUCUGCCAUCGCUCCUUUGUGGCACUGAGGUUAUGGGCAUGGGGUAGAGGGGUUGAUAGUUGGACUCUGUGAUCUUAGUGGCCUUUUCCAGCCUUCACGAUUCUAUGAUUCAUUGCUGUUGCACUGUGUGCAAAGGAGCUGCGGACCAAAAUUAUCAGAAAUAACUUAAUUAUUGUGCCAAGGCCUUCGGAGCUCAGAAAAUGGAUGACUGCAGAGCAUAAUUCUUUUCCUUGCAAUAUUUUGGCAGGGUGUUGAACACAGAAAAGGCACUGUUCCAACAACGAUCAGAAGGGGCAACUGCUAUCCACUAUUUAUUCUCUGUGGUUAACACAAUAUUUUGAGCACAACCAUUGAGCAGCAAGCUCUCUUGGCACUGCAGGUGCUGUUUAGAUCUUCUCCCUUGUGUGUGUAACACAUGGAACUGGAGAACCAGCACUUACCAGUGUUCACAUAUCAAAGACAUUACAUAAAGAAGCAGCGAACAGGAACGUGGGGAGGCCUGACCGAAUUGCUGCUCUUUUUUGGGAGCUUUCAAAGCUUUUGUCUGCCUCACCAUACGUUAUCUUGUUGGGAAAUGGUGUCUUCGUACCACUCUCUGUAGGAGUGGAUUUCGUCCCCGUAAGUAACUAGCCAUAGAUAUCAGGCAAAGUGGACGUGCAGGUUUAUAGCUUCAUUACCCGCUUUAGCAUCUAUCAGUACUGCAAGGAGAAAUCACAGAGGGAGAUAUUUGUACGUCUGCAAAUGGCCAAGAAAGCUGAAAUCUACAGUAGUCGGAAUCUUUCGCUGCUGUUAGCAAAAUGCAGUUAAAAGCAGUUUACUGAGCAUACUUAUCUGAUGGCUGUUUGUAAUUUCCAAGCCCUGUGCUGGCUGUGCCCCACACACUGCUCAGCAGCCACCUCGGAGCUCUGAGCCUUUUCUCAGUAAGGAGGAAUCAGAACAAACCGAUUUGUUUCAUAGCGCACUACAAUCCUUGCCCGGAUCAAACUGCAUCUGCACACGAGGGUUGCUGGAGUUACAGAAAGCACAGUAUAGUGCCAGGGAAGAAAAUAAGUCCCUGGGAGGAAGCUACAGAAGUGAUCUUGUUGGGAAGAGCUGAGCAGUGUGGAUAAUGAGGGUCCUCCCAAAAUGCCAGGGGCUGAGCAGGGCUCGCAGGUUGCUGCUGGUGCAGUUCAGCCACCUCUUGCCAUUUAAAUGCUAUCACAACUCCUAUAACUUUCAAAAUAAUAGAAAAAAAAGUAAUGAGCAGUACAUUAAAAUGAAACAUUGCUUGUUCUGGGAAAGCAACUAACCGAAAUACAAAGGACCUUUGCAGUGUCACAGAGAUUUUCCUGACAUCAUAAUGGCUGGUGGGAAGGGCUUGUGUUUGUCUGUGCUCUGCUGCCAGCCUAAUCGGAUCAGCACUGCUAAUACAGUUGAUUUCCCUCUUGCUGACUUUGGGUGUAUAGAUGUGUGUGCAGCUCAGACCAGGGGAGAAAGAAGAAAAUAUUUGCCCCUCCUCUGCUUUUGGCAGCUUUUGGGAGGGGGAUGGCAUCAACUGUAGGAAAUCUAUGUACUGACCAAGAUGCACAGAGGCACAAGAGAAGGGAGGCAAGCCCCAUGUGGACACACUGCCCUGUAUCGCCUGUGCACGAAAUUCCCAGCAUGGUUGAUGCUUUUAGCUUAUUUUAUUUUCUUAAAACACUGCUAAGACUCGUUUUAUCAAGUACCAUUUGCUGGUCUAAUAAAAUAUUGUCAUGUCUCAUGAAGGAAAGCCAGCUGCUCAGCAGAUGAAGCUGUCCAGCAGAGUGCUGGUGACAGCGCUGCAGAUGCGCUUCGAUGCAAUCAAUUUAGGAUAACAAUGCUGAGCAAAGGAGCAGAUGUGCCAGUCUCCUGGCUUGGCUUUGGAUGCUGCAACUGAUGGCAGCUUCUCUAGUCCUGGUCCCCUCCACAUUUAGCAGUGAGUUUUGCCUGCAGCCAGGCUGAGAGUUAACUUGGGUAAGCAGCAGCCACUCCUCCUUCCUCACCUAUGCUGAUUUUCUUUGAGUGUUCCUAAGUGCCUUUUCAAACCAAAUAUAACUUAGCUGGCCCACUGCUUUCUGACAAAUAUCUUUCCUAGCUUUAUUUAUCAUACAGCCAUAAAUAGUUCACUCAACGCUGCACCUAUAGAGCCUGCUUAAAGAUUUUUUUUCUACCAACUGUAUUUCAUCUUGCAGAAAGUGGAAUAUUUACAGUGUUUGUCACCAUUCAGGUAACAUGUGUCAGUUGGCUGCUCGGAACCCAUCACGUAAAGGAGGAAAAGCCCAACAGAAAUGCAACUGGAUACAAUAAAUACUGUGCUUGUGAGUUUGGGCAUUCAGACACACUGUGAGUCAACUUUGAAAAAGCAACUGAACAGAACACAUCACCUUUGCAUUCUCACCUAGUGAGGGCUCCUAAUGCCAUGACAUGCCCACACACAGCGCUGCCCCUCAACAGGUGGGGUGCACUUUGUCCCCCCAAAGGCAUGGAUGUGGAUUGCACACAGAGAAACUUAAGCACAGCACCUCCAAAUUGCACUGUGCUCAAAGGAGCCCAAGCAUGCAUGACUCUUGCUGGGGUCAGAAACACCAGCAGGACCUCGUGCCUCUAUCUCUCUGCAGAUUUCUGCUGCAGCUCCAUUGUUCAGCAAUGUGGUCUCUUAGCACACUUUCCCUUUUUCCACACUCGUUCACUCAGGCAGACAGCCAACUAUAAAGCAUUCGCUGAACUCAUCCACAACACCUUGGUAACAACUGAAGCUGACCCCUGAGAACAGGGAAUCACCAACACCAUUAAGGAGAUUUCACGUGCUUCGUUGUCAUUUCUGAGGAUGAAGCUGAGCUGCCUGUUCAGAUGGGUACUAUGAUGGGGUCACACAUAGUCCUGCAGUCACUCUUCCCCGAUAACGUGACAAUGUCACAUCCAUGCAAUCAAAGAUUAUGUUGCCUUUUGUGAUGUCUUACCCUGGUCCAAGCACAACAAGAAAAAAAGUUGCCUGUUUUGCACAUCACUGGCUAUUAGGCUAUGUCUGGUUACAUCACAUCAGUUGACACGACAUAAAACAAUGUAAGCAGAUCAGAUGUGACAUAAAUGUCACGUUGCAUCAGGUUUUAAAGAAAUUGGCAGCUAUUACACGACGGAUGAAAAAUGCCAAGAGACGCUCAGCCAUCAUACAGGUAGACCUUCAAGAUAAAGUGAUGUUACCUACCAAACAUAGCCCACAGCUUUGUAUUCUAGUCAUAGAUUCAUGCAGGUUGGAAAAGACCUCUAAGAUCAUCCAGUCUGAUCGUUCACCCACCACCAACAUUGCUCACUGCACCAUGUCUCUCAGUGCCACAUCUACACAUUGCUUGAACACCUCCAGGAACGGUGACCCCACCACCUCCCUGGGCAGCUGUGCCACUGCAUCACCACUCCUUUGGCAAAGAAAUUUUCCCUAACAUCCAACCUGAACCUCCCCUGGUGCAACCUGAGGCCAUUCCCUCUCAUCCCAUCAAAAUGACACAUUAUCAGCUUAUGAAAUGAUCACUUUUACUCUCUGUUAUGCUCCUAUUCCUCUCAAGAAGACGCAGACGUGGUGACCAUUAUCCCUUAUAAAGCACCCAUAAGCAGCAAAUUCACCGACCGAAAAAUAGACAAAACAUGGAGUCUGACUCAAAAAAACACUGAAAUCAAUAACAGGCUAUCUAUUGACUCAAACAGGAAAUGGAUCAGCACCUCUAUGCCUCAGUAAAUAUUUUUACUAUACAACUAAUUUCCCAUUUGAAGGAAAAGCAUCAUUUUUUGUUGGUCAGUGGGAAUAAAGGAGCAAAACAAAUUUAUGUAACAGAGCAAACAGAUUACAAAAGAGAGGUAGCACUUACGUAAGGUAUCAGUGCUAAUGCCAGGCUUGCUUUUAUCAACGUUAUCUUCAUUUUCCACUCAAACAGAAGAGAGUAAAUGAGAGAGCAAGCCUGAUGUUUGCAGCAGCAGUAGUGACAUGGCUUAUGUACGUGCUCCUCCUACCCACUGCUGGCAGAGCAAACGUGGUGCCUGGGCAUCACAGAGCCCUCUGGACACUGAACACUUUCUCACCCUGCUUCUGGAGCGAAAACAGCUUAGGAACCUCUGCAAAAACAGAAAAUGGGCAGCAUCAGUAUUGCCUGCAUGACUUGCACAGCACCUGCACACUGCACGGAGCUGCAGCAGCAAGGGGAGGGCACGACAUACCUGAGGGAGUCUGCUCUCCAAAAUGCAUCUCCUGGAUGAUUUUCUUACACACUGUUUUUCCCUCCUCACGUAGCAUGUGUACACCAGAAACGAUUUCAAUGAUGAAUCAGGCAGCUUACCUGUGGACUAAGACUCCAACUGUAAAGUGAUUCAUCUUAAAACCAGUUUAUAAAUGAGAAACAGACAUCUCGAGGCUGGUAACCUUUCAGAAACACCAUGGUGACAGAUUCUGCCUGACAGAUUUGAUAUGAAUUCUGCCCAUUGUAUAAAUAUUGAUAGCUCUGACGCUUAGCAUUGCAGACUUAAUCUUCUCAGGUGUAUUUGCAGCAAUAGAGCCUGACCCAGCACGGGAAAGAUGCAGUGCAGUGCUCAAGGUGUUAUUUAGAGUCAUUAGUCCUUGACAGGAAAAAGUUAAUUGACAAGCAUUCACAAACGUUGCAUACUUGAACAUCUCAGAGGAAUUGCCCAAUUAAUAUACUGUCAAACAAGCUGAUUUGGGAUCAUUAAGAACCUCUGGCACGGCGAAGGCACACAGGCAGAGCAGGAGGAGUGCGGUCACGUCACUCUCAUUGUGAUGGGGAAAAUGAAGCACCCUGGCAUCCCUGCUGUCAGGUUGGACAUUAGGAAAAGCUUCUCUGAAAGAGUGGUGAGGCAUUGGCACAGGCUGCUCAGGGCGGGGGUGGAGUCACCAUCCCUGGAGGUGUCCAGAAACCAUGGAGAUGUGGCAGUGAGAGAUAUGGCUUCAUGGGCAGUCAUGGUGGUAGGUGGACGAUUGAACUAGAGGACCUUAGAGGUCUUUUCCAACCUUAGCGAUUCAAUGAUUCACAUUUCCUAUUGACGCCCUGGAGAGCCCUGUGAGCAGGGCAAGAAGGAAGCAGAGAAGAGCAGGAUUUAAGGUGGAGUGUUCAUAAUGAGGUCUUCCGAGCAGCUCUCAAUGAAAGUCUGCAUCAGUAGAGGCUCAGAGCCCAUCUCCACCAGCCAAAGGCAGACUUUACAGCUCCUUUUGUUCAACGUCUAAGUUAACUGUGCAAAAGAUGUACAAUACUGAGAAAGAGCCAAUUGUACUGAAACUAUGAAGGAUUAAGGAGGCAAGGUGGGAUAAGUAUAUUAAAAAAUAUGUACCUCGGUUGGCUUUGUUUUGUUCUUCUUCUGAACAGCUCCUCUUUGUGCCUUCUGCCUGUGUGGACAAAUUUUGGACAAUUUAGCUGAUGAACAGUCAUUCCCACUUUUAAAAUAAAACAAUUUUACAACUAAUUGUUAAUGAGCUGCCUUGUAAUUUUUCUAUUUUGAGCCAGAGCCGCUUUGAGUCAGGCCUGCCAAACC
Long non-coding RNA from Gallus gallus (chicken), 10836 nucleotides. The record is from Ensembl. NCBI's taxonomy places the organism in Eukaryota, Metazoa, Chordata, Aves, Galliformes, Phasianidae.